GACGAACGCUGGCGGCGUGCUUAACACAUGCAAGUCGAACGGAAAGGCCCUGCUUUUGUGGGGUGCUCGAGUGGCGAACGGGUGUGUAACACGUGAGUAACCUGCUCUUGACUUUGGGAUAACUUCAGGAAACUGGGGCUAAUACCGGAUAGGAGCUCCUGCUGCAUGGUGGGGGUUGGAAAGUUUCGGCGGUUGGGGAUGGACUCGCGGCUUAUCAGCUUGUUGGUGGGGUAGUGGCUUACCAAGGCUUUGAUGGGUAGCCGGCCUGAGAGGGUGACCGGCCACAUUGGGACUGAGAUAGGGCCCAGACUCCUACGGGGGGCAGCAGGGGGGAAUAUUGAACAAUGGGCGGAGGCCGGAUGCGGCAACGCCGCUGGCGGGAUGACGGCCUUCGGUUUGUAAACCGCUUUCGCCUGUGACGAAGCGUUAGUGACGGUAAUGGGUAAAGAAGCACCGGCUAACUACGUG
Molecule: ribosomal RNA, 468 nt
Filed under: uncultured bacterium
Lineage: Bacteria
Description: partial 16S ribosomal RNA
Rfam family: Bacterial small subunit ribosomal RNA
Source: RNAcentral